ACUCUUCUGUGCUGGGAGUGGUGGUUCCAGCUGUUCCAGAGUCUGAGGCAGGAGGAUUGUUUGAGCCCCCGAGUUCUGGGCUGUAGUGAGUAUGCUGAUUGGCUAUCGACACUAAGUUCAGCAUUAAUAUGGUGACUUCUUGGGAGUAGUGAACCAUCAGGUUGCCUAAGGAGGGGUAAACCAACGUCAGAAAUGGAGCAUAUCAAAAGUCCUGUGCUAAUCAGUAGUGGGGUUAUGUUUGUGAAUAGCCUCUGCACUGUAGCUUGGGCAAUAUUGUGAGAUCCUGUCUCU
This 291-nucleotide signal recognition particle RNA is filed under the name Carlito syrichta (Philippine tarsier). RNAcentral describes it as "Metazoan signal recognition particle RNA (ENSTSYG00000037201.1)". It matches the Rfam family "Metazoan signal recognition particle RNA". Rfam says of the family: The signal recognition particle (SRP) is a universally conserved ribonucleoprotein. The record is from RNAcentral. Lineage: Eukaryota; Metazoa; Chordata; Mammalia; Primates; Tarsiidae.